GGGGGAUAAAUUAAUAAAGUAUAAAUAAUAAAAAAAUUUUUAAUAUUAAAAUAGUUUAAUGGGGGUUAAAGUAUAUUUAAUAGAAAAAAUAAAAAAAUUUAUAGAAAAUUAGUAUUGUAAAAGAAAUUUGAAAUAUUUUGAAAAUGAAUUUAUUUAAAAGUAAAUUUAAUUUAUUGUAUCUUGUGUAUCAGAGUUUAUUAAUAAUAAUUUUUAUUUAAAAAUUUCUCGAAUUUAAAAGAGAUAAUUGAUUAUUAAAGUUAAUAUUGUAUAAUUAUUUUAAAUAAUUAAUUUGAAAUGAAAUGUUAAUCGUUUUUAAAUAUAUCUAGUUUUUUUAGAAAAAAAUUUAAUUUUAAAUUUUAAAAAAAUAUAAUUUUAAUUAAUUAAAAUUAUAUUUUUAAAGUUAAAUAUUUUAAGGGAUAAGCUUUAAAAUAAAUUUUUAUAAUAAAUUUAAAAAUAAUUAAAAUUUUUAAAAUUUAUAUUGUUUAAAAAUUAUAAUUUUUUAUAAAUAAUUUUAAUUAAAAUAAAAUUUAAAAUUUAUUUAAUUUUUUAUUAAAAAAUAUUUUUUAAUAAUUAAAAUUUAGAUAUAAUGAUAAAAUUAGUAUAUAAUUAAAUAAAAAUAAUUUAUUAUUUAAUAAUUUAAUAAAAGGAAUUCGGCAAAUAUUUAUAUUCACUUGUUUAUCAAAAACAUGUCUUUUUGAUUAAUAAUUUAAAGUCUAAUCUGCCCACUGAUAAUAUAUUAAAGGGCUGCAGUAUUUUGACUGUACAAAGGUAGCAUAAUCAUUAGUCUCUUAAUUGGUGACUUGUAUGAAAGAUUUGAUGAAAUAUAUACUGUCUCUAAUUAAUUUAUAAAAUUUAAUUUUUUAGUUAAAAAGCUAAAAUAAAUUUAAAAGACGAGAAGACCCUAUAGAGUUUAAUAUUUAUAUAAAUUGAGAUUUUAUAUAAGAAUUAUAAUUUUAAUAAUAUAUAAAUAUUUUGUUGGGGUGACAAAAAAAUUAAAAUAACUUUUUUUAUAUUUUUACAUUUAUAAAUGAAUAAAUGAUCCAUAAUUUAUGAUUAUAAGAAAAAAUUACCUUAGGGAUAACAGCGUAAUUUUUUUUUUUAGUUCAAAUAAGAAAAAAAGUUUGCGACCUCGAUGUUGGAUUAAGAUAAAAUUUAAAUGCAAAAGUUUAAAAUUUUUGAUCUGUUCGAUCAUUAAAAUCUUACAUGAUCUGAGUUCAAACCGGUGUAAGCCAGGUUGGUUUCUAUCUUUAGAUUAAUAAAAUAUUUUAGUACGAAAGGAUCAAAUAUUUAAAAUAAUUUUAUAUAAAAGAAUUUUAAUAAUAGUUAAAUAAAUUUA
RNAcentral lists this ribosomal RNA (1336 nucleotides) under Parnassius andreji. Its description in RNAcentral is "16S ribosomal RNA". The stretch from base 1077 to 1236 matches the Rfam family "Eukaryotic large subunit ribosomal RNA", at positions 2825 to 2984 of the family's 3401-position model. The record is from RNAcentral. Lineage: Eukaryota; Metazoa; Arthropoda; Insecta; Lepidoptera; Papilionidae.